RNAcentral lists this ribosomal RNA (447 nucleotides) under uncultured bacterium. Its description in RNAcentral is "partial 16S ribosomal RNA". It matches the Rfam family "Bacterial small subunit ribosomal RNA", at positions 29 to 523 of the family's 1533-position model. The record is from RNAcentral.
AACGAACGCUGGCGGCAGGCCUAACACAUGCAAGUCGAGCGCCCCGCAAGGGGAGCGGCGGACGGGUGAGUAACGCGUGGGAACGUGCCCCUUUCUACGGAAUAGCCUCGGGAAACUGAGAGUAAUACCGUAUAAGCCCUACGGGGGAAAGAUUUAUCGGGAAGGGAUCGGCCCGCGUUGGAUUAGGUAGUUGGUGGGGUAAUGGCCUACCAAGCCGACGAUCCAUAGCUGGUUUGUGAGGAUGAUCAGCCACACUGGGACUGAGACACGGCCCAGACUCCUACGGGAGGCAGCAGUGGGGAAUCUUAGACAAUGGGCGCAAGCCUGAUCUAGCCAUGCCGCGUGAGCGAUGAAGGCCUUAGGGUUGUAAAGCUCUUUCGUGGGGGAAGAUAAUGACUGUACCCCAAGAAGAAGCCCCGGCUAACUCCGUGCCAGCAGCCGCCGUAA